CAGAGGAAUAGGAGUUGUAUUUAAGGCAGGGUGUGCUGUCAACAACCCAGGAGUUGUAUUUAAGGCAGGGUGUGCUGUCAACAACCCAGAGGAAUAGGAGUUGUAUUUAAGGCAGGGUGUGCUGUCAACAACCCAGGAGUUGUAUUUAAGGCAGGGUGUGCUGUCAACAACCCAGAGGAGGAGUUGUAUUUAAGGCAGGGUGUGCUGUCAACAACCCAGAGGAAUGUGAGUUGUAUUUAAGGCAGGGUGUGCUGUCAACAACCCAGAGGAAUAGGAGUUGUAUUUAAGGCAGGGUGUGCUGUCAACAACCCAGAGGAAUAGGAGUUGUAUUUAAGGCAGGGUGUGCUGUCAACAACCCAGGGGAGGAGUUGUAUUUAAGGCAGGGUGUGCUGUCAACAACCCAGGAGAAUAGGAGUUGUAUUUAAGGCAGGGUGUGCUGUCAACAACCCAGGGGAGGAGUUGUAUUUAAGGCAGGGUGUGCUGUCAACAACCCAGGAGGAGGAGUUGUAUUUAAGGCAGGGUGUGCUGUCAACAACCCAGGAGAGGAGUUGUAUUUAAGGCAGGGUGUGCUGUCAACAACCCAGGAGUUGUAUUUAAGGCAGGGUGUGCUGUCAACAACCCAGAGGAAUAGGAGUUGUAUUUAAGGCAGGGUGUGCUGUCAACAACCCAGGGGAGGAGGAGUUGUGUUUAAGGCAGGGUGUGCUGUCAACAACCCAGAGGUGGUGUGCUUAGCCAGGGUGUGCUGUAGGCAAUAUAAUCAACAUUUUUCUGGCCAAGAAAGGGUGGACGGAUCAAACGGAUUUGCCAGAAGACUU
Oncorhynchus keta (chum salmon) is the source of this 815-nucleotide long non-coding RNA. RefSeq lists it as uncharacterized. Lineage: Eukaryota; Metazoa; Chordata; Actinopteri; Salmoniformes; Salmonidae. The record is from RefSeq and is a predicted model, not a curated record. The transcript has 5 exons.